GACGAACGCUGGCGGCGUGCUUAACACAUGCAAGUCGAACGGAGUGCCCAUGACAGAGGUUUCGGCCAAUUGAUUGGGUUACUUAGUGGCGGACUGGUGAGUAACGCGUGAGGAACCUGCCUUUCAGAGGGGGACAACAGUUGGAAACGACUGCUAAUACCGCAUGAUACAUUGUUGGGGCAUCCCGAUGAUGUCAAAGAUUUAUCGCUGAAAGAUGGCCUCGCGUCUGAUUAGAUAGUUGGCGGGGUAACGGCCCACCAAGUCGACGAUCGGUAGGGGUUCUGAGAGGAAGGUCCCCCACAUUGGAACUGAGACACGGUCCAAACUCCUACGGGAGGCAGCAGUGAGGAAUAUUGGUCAAUGGGCGAGAGCCUGAACCAGCCAAGUAGCGUGCAGGAAGACGGCCCUAUGGGUGUAAACUGCUUUUAUCAGGGACGAAGGAAGUGACGGUACCUGAUGAAUAAGCCAACGGCUAACUACGUG
This 483-nucleotide ribosomal RNA is filed under the name uncultured bacterium. Its description in RNAcentral is "bacterial SSU rRNA". It matches the Rfam family "Bacterial small subunit ribosomal RNA", at positions 28 to 507 of the family's 1533-position model. The record is from RNAcentral.